RNAcentral lists this long non-coding RNA (866 nucleotides) under Marmota monax (woodchuck). Lineage: Eukaryota; Metazoa; Chordata; Mammalia; Rodentia; Sciuridae. The record is from RNAcentral.
CUUCCAUUUCAUGAGAUCAGGAAGACUUCUAUUCUCUUCCAAGCUCUGGUGCUGGGAAACCUGGUUCAUGUCCCAUCCUCCAAAGGGGAAAUCCUGGCACAGGAAGCACAUACAGCAUACUGGGCAAGCUGAAAUGGAUAUGUCUUCUUGGUUCAUAUAAAUAAUAAGGGCCCCAAAGCGUUUAUGCCACAAGGUAAAGGAGAAAGGCGAUUUCUCCAAUAAAUAAAAAUAGAUUGGAAGAAAGAUUGGGACAGCCAAGAGAGGCAGCUAGCCACAGAGCCCAAUCAGUUGAGGUCUUUAAUGUGCGUGGAGGAGACUCCUCAUUAUUCAUGAAUCUUGCUGAUGCACAAACCCUAUAAGGAGCUGCUGUUUCCCUGUCAGCCCAAGAAGUGCUAAGUGGAACAAGAGUCCAGUGCAACAGUGCUAUGAUCUGUCUCAGUGUUGGUGCUGAGUCUGUCUAAGCCCUGGAGCAAGUUAAGCACUUCCUUGGUGUGGACAAAGAAUAAAGGGAAAAGAAACUACUUUAAAACCUCUUUUCCUCCCAAUUUAUGUUUUGAUACGCAAACCAGAAAAUCCCAAGGAAAUUGCUUUCUAGUCAUUAAAACCACUAUCUGCAUUAUUCAGUUACUUUCUUCACCCACCUCAAACGCCCAUCUAACCCAGGAUUCCCUCACUCUUCUUAGUUACUGAUCAUUUUAUGAAAAUAAUGUAAUUAUAAGUAUUUUCUGAAGGUUUGUGAAGAGUAUUUGCAUUGUGUCUUCAUUUUAAUGUGUGCAAUCCCUAUGCUCCAAGAACCAAAAGCUGUCUUGUGAGCAUCAAGUGAACAGGCUGUUUUGCUCCAGCCACUUUCUUGUACAACACCACGG